Crotalus tigris (Tiger rattlesnake) is the source of this 2193-nucleotide long non-coding RNA. RefSeq lists it as uncharacterized. The transcript has 2 exons. The record is from RefSeq and is a predicted model, not a curated record. Lineage: Eukaryota; Metazoa; Chordata; Lepidosauria; Squamata; Viperidae.
GCUGGAUGGAAUCACUGAAGCAAUAGGCGUGAACUUAAAUGGACUCCAGAAGAUGGUAGAGGACAGGAAGACCUGGAGGAACAUUGUCCUUGGGGUUGCGAGGGGUCGGACACGACUUCGCAACCAACAAGGUUGGUGUUCUUCUACUUAGAAGGCUUUUGUGUGGCCAGUAGGUGGAAAUGUGUUGGAGCCACACGAAGCCCUUUUAAGCAGAACACCGAGAUUCCUGAAGUUCUGCCGAAGACGUUAUCUAGCCUUGUAAUUUAACUUUCAGAAAACCAUCUGUAAGCUCAGAGAACGCAUCUCCACCCUCAUCCUACACCUGAGCCACAGAUAUUUACCACUAUCACAAACCUAGAUCAGUGUUUCUCAACCUCUGGGACUUAAUCUCCCAGAAUCCCCAGCCAGUUCUUCAAGUGGCCACAGUUGAGAAAUACUGACCUAAUGCUUGAGAUACGCCAUCUUUACUGUAAACAUCCAGGAUGCAGAGAAAAAAGUUCCCCUCGCCAACUGGAAUCCUUGAAUCCCACAAGCCAGGCUGGUUUUGAAUCCAGGUCCUUGGGAUGCCAGCUUCGAACGUGGUACCAGGGCCCACCGCUCAAACCACUGGACUCCAGUCUUCCAUCGGGCCUUAUUUUACAUUUCUUCUUGCUUUUUGGAACCUUAUCCGCCCACUCCCUUUUCCUUUGUUCAGAUCUGAGCAGUCCUUCGGAACAAGCAGCAGUGCAGGCAAAAUUAAAAAUAAUCAUAAACAAAAAUCCAAUAACUGGUAGCUACAUUUGUAUGAUGCAUUCACGCCCCCCCCUCCCCGUCCCUCAUCCACACCUGUGGGAAGUCAGCAACGUUUCCAACCACAGAAGGAGGGGAGGGGGGGGGAGAAGGCAUAUUACAAGGAACACAGGUUAAGGUGCAAGGCGAAAUAUCCCGAAACAGUUUUUUUUAUUAUUAUUGUUUUGCAGAUCUCACGAAACACCCGUGCAUUGUGCAACAACAGCAGCAACAGCCACACUUAGGGACGGAGGAAGAAGCUGAAGCAGAGAACCGUUCCCCCUUUGGGGUGCACUCUCGGACCCUCCAAAAAGGCAGAAGAGGGUUUGGCCCAAGCGAAGCAGGAAUGCAACAGAAAAUCAGGAGCCGUUUCUACAGACAACAUCAAAGUGCGUUUUAAUGUUCUAAUCUCAAGCUGGAGAAGCAAGGCUUGGUUUAGGUCCAUCUUUCCUGUCAUGCUAGAUAGAAAAUCAGCAGAAGGCAGACAUUGGGAGACAUUGGAGUUACACAACUGCAAUAGAUGAAAUCAUAAUUCCUUCACUAUACGGCACAAAGAUUCUGGAGUGGCUGGGCCGUUCCUGGGAAACUCAGCCACCGGUAAAUCUUCUUUGAUAUAAUUCCAAUUUGAGCUUUUGUGGUGAGCUGUAAAAAAUAUUCCCAAAUAUUGUCGGAGAUUAAAGGAGGAAGAUGAUGUAAACACUGAGAAUUGGAGUGUAAGUUUUGGCAAUAGACUCGGCAUCGUAUAAAAAUACUUGAUAAUAAAAAAUUUCAUCCAUAUAUUAAAAAAAAUCAGGACAUGAAUUGAUAGCAGAGUUCUUUUUUUUUUUUUUGUGCUUGCAGGGCAGACAAAAACAUUCUUCCUUUUACACACACCCUGGUCAUCAGAAACGCAGCGUUCUUUAAAUUAAAAAGGAGGGGGAGGGAAUUUCACCACACAAAAAUUUCACCACACCAUCAGAAGCAAUUCAACCAAUUGCAAUUCAUCUCAUUUAAAAAAAAAAAGAGCAGGUUUUAUCAUCAGCAGUUGUCCAAAUUUCUAUGUCGGGAUAAAAGUGCACAGAAUUUUAAUCCACCACAAGGCUGUGAGCUAACAUGAAAUGGUAUGCUUGGUGAACAUCAACAAAAACCCAAAACCCAGACAUUUUCAAGCUAGAGAUCUGGACCACACCGAGUCAAAUCAAGAGCAUUGUUGGUUUCCUUUCUUUCUUCUUUUUUGUUUUUCCUUUUCAGUUUGAAAGGUGAAAAAAAAAAUGUCAACGUUUUUGCAGCAUUGCAGUAAGGCACUCGCCCACGGUGUGUUUGUGCCGCAUUAAAAGGGUUAGCAGCCAACUCACUUUUUAAACAGACGGAAGACAAAUUUCCCUUUGUGGUAAGUGCUGCGGGUACCUUACACCAUUAGUAAACAGAAAGGGGAGGAAAAAAAAA